UGCAUGAUGUCCAAGUAGAAAGGCAUUGGUUGUGUAAACCAAAGUACAUGGGUUCAAGUCCCAACCAUGCCU
Molecule: non-coding RNA, 72 nt
Organism: Ataeniobius toweri
Lineage: Eukaryota; Metazoa; Chordata; Actinopteri; Cyprinodontiformes; Goodeidae
Source: the annotation of a GenBank genome assembly